This 485-nucleotide ribosomal RNA is filed under the name uncultured bacterium. Its description in RNAcentral is "bacterial SSU rRNA". It matches the Rfam family "Bacterial small subunit ribosomal RNA", at positions 29 to 526 of the family's 1533-position model. The record is from RNAcentral.
AAUGAACGUUGGCGGCGUGGAUUAGGCAUGCAAGUCGCGCGAUAAAUGUAGCAAUACAUGGAAAGCGGCGAAAGGGACAGUAAUGUAUGGGAACCUACCCUGAGGCUCGGGAUAGCGGCGGGAAACUGCCGGUAAUACCGAAUAAUGUCUCUGGACCAAAGGUGUGAUUCCUCCUUGGGAUGGGCCCAUAUGCUAUUAGCUAGUUGGCGAGGUAAAAGCUCACCAAGGCAAAGAUGGCUAGCGGGUGUGAGAGCACGACCCGCGUCACUGGGACUGAGAUACUGCCCAGACACCUACGGGUGGCUGCAGUCGAGAAUCUUCGGCAAUGGGCGCAAGCCUGACCGAGCGACGCCGCGUGCGGGAUGAAGGCCCUCGGGUUGUAAACCGCUGUCGAGGGGGACGAAAUUCUGGUGGGUACUCCCAUCAGAUUGACCGAUCCCUGGAGGAAGGGUGGGCUAAGUUCGUGCCAGCAGCCGCAGUAAAAC